GGGCGCUUAGCUCAGCUGGUUAGAGCACUGCCCUUACAAGGCAGGGGUCACAGGUUCGAGCCCUGUAGCGCCCACCA
This 77-nucleotide transfer RNA is filed under the name Candidatus Firestonebacteria bacterium RIFOXYC2_FULL_39_67. RNAcentral describes it as "tRNA-Val". It matches the Rfam family "tRNA". From Rfam's summary of the family: Transfer RNA (tRNA) molecules are approximately 80 nucleotides in length. Their secondary structure includes four short double-helical elements and three loops (D, anti-codon, and T loops). Further hydrogen bonds mediate the characteristic L-shaped molecular structure. tRNAs have two regions of fundamental functional importance: the anti-codon, which is responsible for specific mRNA codon recognition, and the 3' end, to which the tRNAs corresponding amino acid is attached (by aminoacyl-tRNA synthetases). tRNAs cope with the degeneracy of the genetic code in two manners: having more than one tRNA (with a specific anti-codon) for a particular amino acid; and 'wobble' base-pairing, i.e. permitting non-standard base-pairing at the 3rd anti-codon position. The record is from RNAcentral. RNAcentral also lists the same sequence under 2 other names. Lineage: Bacteria; Candidatus Firestoneibacteriota.